This 72-nucleotide transfer RNA is filed under the name Rhipicephalus microplus (southern cattle tick). Its description in RNAcentral is "tRNA-Pro". It matches the Rfam family "tRNA". Rfam says of the family: Transfer RNA (tRNA) molecules are approximately 80 nucleotides in length. Their secondary structure includes four short double-helical elements and three loops (D, anti-codon, and T loops). Lineage: Eukaryota; Metazoa; Arthropoda; Arachnida; Ixodida; Ixodidae. The record is from Rfam by way of RNAcentral.
GGCUCGUUGGUCUAGGGGUACGAUUCUCGCUUCGGGUGCGAGAGAUCCCGGGUUCAAAUCCCGGACGAGCCC